CAAGAUAGAGCACACAUCACUGGGUGGUACGCUCUGUCCCUCUGUGCACCCAUGCACCAUCCUCAACCGUGCGUGUGUUCUCUCACCCCGAGCCAGGUGGAGUGCCAGUUAAUGAAUGGCGGCAGCAGCGUGGGGCCUUCUGGAUAGUCCAUGAUACCCAGUGAAGUGAGGACAGUGUGGCAAGGCGAGGCAAGGCAAGGUGAAGGAGUGUCGUAGGGGUGUUGGCGUGAAGUCCUUGAGCUUCCUGGUGGAAACCUUGUGGCAGUGGAAUGCCAGGGAACGAAUGCCAGCAGCAGCCUGGAGCCCUCCAUAUAAUCCGUGAUACCCGGCGAAGUGAGGACGAUGCAGAAAGGCAAGGUGUGGUGUAGGAGUCUUGGAGGGGUGUUGGCGUGCAGUCCGUAAGGAUUCUGGUUUAACCCUUGUGGCGUUCAACUUAGAAUCAGCACUUGUUUUUUUAUGAAAGAACUAAUUUUUUUCACCUUGAGAAGUGAAAUGAUGGAGAAUAUCAUGACUAAAUCUGCCAUCCAAACCUCACAGUCCAGUGGGAAUUCUCACACUGGUCAUUGUGUCUGAGGGUGUUGGAAUCCUGAGUGCUCAGUCUCUGCCACAUAUCUCACGUUUAAUGUUCUUCUACAAAUGUACCUGUAUUGAUGAUGACUUCAGAAAUGGAUCUCAGAGGAGUCUGAAUGAAAUGACUGACAAAAUUACUUCUCAUGGAUCAAGUACUGUGUUUCAUAUGAAAGAGAGGUGACAUAAAGGACAGGAUUCAGAAUAAGUCUGCCUUUCCAUCCUUAAGGUCCAUUCUCAAACUGAUUGGAAGCAAUGUUGAAUGGAAGGUACAUUUUAUUGCUUGGAAUUCUCACCACUACACCAAGGAACUGCUGUUUUUGUAACAGCCUUCUCACCUGGGAAUGGCAAAAACAAUGUAUUCC
Molecule: long non-coding RNA, 932 nt
Organism: Aethalodelphis obliquidens (Pacific white-sided dolphin)
Lineage: Eukaryota; Metazoa; Chordata; Mammalia; Artiodactyla; Delphinidae
Exons: 6
Source: RefSeq, a predicted model, not a curated record